Molecule: long non-coding RNA, 2892 nt
Filed under: Homo sapiens (human)
Lineage: Eukaryota; Metazoa; Chordata; Mammalia; Primates; Hominidae
Description: disrupted in renal carcinoma 3, transcript variant 9 (DIRC3)
Source: RNAcentral
AGAGACACAGCAAGUAUAGACAGCUCGGAAGACCUUGACCCCCACCCACCCCAAUCGACGUGUUUUCCUGGGCUUUACUCUUUGCUUCCGUUAGUCACUUUGGCCAAGGUUUCUCCUGCGUAGACGUCAGGAUGGCGAGGACAGAGGCCAGGAAGGAAGGAGAUGUGUCCCAGAAAGCUGAAGCCCCCUCCUGGGGCAGCCUUUUGGAAGGAGCUUCUGAUACCUAACCUGGAUCAUUCCUGCUGCAGUAUCAGCAGGUGUCAGCCGGGGAAGGAGAAGCCUUCUGUGAAUGACAGUCCUUCAGAUGACUAAAAACAGCUGAACUCUAUCCCAAGCAGAUAUAAGAGAGGUGGAGAUCAGGGUCUUGCUCUAUCAUCAAGACUGGAGUGCAGUAGUGUGAUCAUAGUUCACUGCAGCCUCAAACUCCUGGGCUCAAGCGAUCCUCCCGACUCACAACCUCCUGGAAUUUUUUGAUGGAGAGAAACUGAGUCCGAGGGAUGUCAACAUGCCAAGUCCAUGGAAAUAUCAGUGGGCUGGAAUUCUAGCUGCCUGAAAGAAGACAUUCCUCACACAAGACCUCACAAUCAUAUCCAUGGAAUUAUAGCACUGGGCUCUCCAGAUGGUGCUACAGGAAGACCUCCAGAAAUUUGACAAUCCUCUAUUCAAGGCCCUACCACAGAGACACACAGGAACGGAACUCAGAAUCACAAACAAAGAAACUUUGAUCCAAGAAAGAAAAUGAUCUUUAAAAAGACCCUCGUUUCAUGCUGGCCGAUGCUGAGAAAAUCUGCUCUGAAGGAUAUUUGGAGACACUGAUUAAAAGAUGGUUGUCCCAGUGGAGGGGGAUUCUUCGUGUUACGUAGAUAGGAAGCACGAUGCAAAAGUGUUGAAGCAGGAGUGUAAAGAAUAAUUAAAACACCUGCCCAAGACCCAAGCAAGGAUAGGAUUUCCCAGACAUUCGUGAGGGAGAAAAUGCCAUGUCCUUUCCUUCUGGUGUCACAUCAGAAUCUGAAGGCUGCUAGAGAAGGGAGAGAAACAUGAAAGUGAGUCCCAUGCUGAUUGUUGUUGAAAUACCUGGAAAGAAACUGGCAAAGACUAUCCAAGGGAUGCUAAGACAUGUCCGAACUUACAAAACAGUAGAACCUGAAUAGGAAUUUGAAGUUGUCUAUACUCUCCUCAGCCACACCCUGCCAUUUUACAGAUUGUCUUCUCUGGGGAAGUUAGCUGUCAUGUUGUGAGGAUACUCAAGCAGUUUAUAAAGAGGUUCAUGUCGCAAGGAAUGGAGGCCUCCUGCCAACAGCCAUGUAAAGGAGCCAUCUAGGAAAUAGAUUCUCCAGCCCCAGUCAGACCUUCAGAUGAUUACAGCCCCUACCAACCUUCUGACUGCGGUGGAAGGAAGGUUCCGGAACCAGAACCACCCAGGUUAAUGUGGGUAAGUCUCAUCCAAUCCUUUGAAGGCCUGAAGAACAAAGAGUGAGGUUUCUGGAAGAAGAAAAUUUUACCUCAAGCCUGCAAUGUAGAAAUUCUGCUUGAGUUUCCCGCCUGCUGGCCUGCCCUGUGGAAUUCGGAGUCAAGAAGGAGUCUUGUAAGCAUUAACUGAGAUAGUAUAUGAAGAGUGCUUUUGCACCGAGUGAACCUUCAAUCAACUGUACUAGUUUGUAUGCCUGGAAGAGCUGCUAUAUGGGAUCAGAAAGAAAAAUAAGUGGAAUUGUGCGAGUGGAAAUGAUUGAUCUACAGCUAGGAGAAGCAGCAGAGCUCAAUCUCAAAAACAUAACGUUGUGUGGAAAAAGCUAACCUCAGAACACUUUGCGGCUCUAUCUUAGCAAACCAGGAGAGAAAUUCUCCUGAUGGCCUUGAAGAAGCAAACAGCCACCUGGUUAAGCCCCUGUGGAUAGUGCCAAGUGGCAGGAAAGUGGGAGCCACCUCUAGGACCUGAGGAUUAAAGUCAGUAAGAGCUGGGACCUCACUCAUGCAGACUCGAGGACAUGAAUUCGACCAACAACUUGAAUGAGCUUGGAAGUGGAUUCUUCCCUAGUCCAGUCUUCAGAAAUUAAGAAUGUUCCCAAAGAAUGAUGGAGACAUUUCAAAAGGAUACGGAAGCCAGAUUGUGGGCGCUUCUACUGGCCAACUCUGGGACAUCGUGGACAUCAAAAUAAAUUUGUAAUAAUAAAGGAUUAUAGCCUAUUAGUUAAAUCAGAAAAAUCUGAUUUAACUAAAUGAGUAGGAGGAAAAGAAAGCUCUUCCUUAUAUUAGAAAGUCAAUUAAUAAAUGCAGAAAGGAAUGAAAAAAUUAGAAAAGCCACCAUUUGGCAACCAUGGCAGGCAGAAUGGGGAGUAUGCCUCCAGACAGUAAUUCCUUUCAAACUGGUUUAUAGGAACUCACUGAGCUUGCUGAUCGACCUCUGAGAGGCAAAGUUUCUGAAUUAUGAAGUACUGAUUAUAUAAACUUAGACAGAGACAUGCUUCAUUAUUUAAUAGGACUGUGUCAAAAGCCUACUAUUAGGAUGAUGUGUUGGGUGUGGAACAGGGUCUCUUCCUGCCAGGAACACUGGUGAUUUCACUCCGUGUUCAGGCUGAUCUUUGAAGUUGAAGACAAGCAGAAGAAUCCUUCUAAAAUUUAGCCAUGCCCAUAGGCUGGGAGGGACACUGCUCCAUUCAGAGGCAGCAAAGCACAUUACUGUAUCUCCUAUAGAGCUUUGAGCAGUCCAGUGUACAUGGAGAAACUUAGUAAAUGUUGUUGAAUUAGUGAAUGAACAAAUCAAUGGACCAAGUCAGGGGUAAGUCUUACAUUUGUCAUCUAGGUGAUUAAGAAAGGAAAAAGUAUCUGUUUCAAGAGGAUUACAAUCUAACUGUACUCCAAUAGUAAAAUUUACUCUUUUGGAAUCUGAAGACA